This 253-nucleotide ribosomal RNA is filed under the name uncultured bacterium. RNAcentral's name for it is "partial 16S ribosomal RNA". It matches the Rfam family "Bacterial small subunit ribosomal RNA", at positions 524 to 776 of the family's 1533-position model. The record is from RNAcentral.
UACGGAGGUCCCAAGCGUUGUUCGGAAUUACUGGGCGUAAAGGGAGCGCAGGCGGACUGGCAAGUCUAAAGUGGAAUCCCGGGGCUCAACCUCGGAACUGCUUCGGAUACUAUCAGUCUUGAGUUCGUGAGAGGAAAGCGGAAUUCAGGGUGUAGCGGUGAAAUGCUUAGAUAUCCUGAGGAACACCAAUGGCGAAGGCAGCUUUCUGGCGCGAUACUGACGCUGAGGCUCGAAAGCGUGGGGAGCGAACGGG